This 455-nucleotide ribosomal RNA is filed under the name uncultured bacterium. RNAcentral's name for it is "bacterial SSU rRNA". It matches the Rfam family "Bacterial small subunit ribosomal RNA", at positions 28 to 524 of the family's 1533-position model. The record is from RNAcentral.
GAUAAACGCUGGCGGCGUGCCUAACACAUGCAAGUCGAACGAUCCCGCAAGGGAGAGUGGCGGAAGGGUGAGUAACACGUGGGAAUCUACCUCCUCGCAGGGAACAACCUCUCGAAAGAGAGGCUAAUACCCAAAAGGGUCAGAAAUGAUCAGAGUCGAAAGGCAUGAGGAGAGGAGCCCGCGGCCCAUCAGCUAGUUGGUGAGGUAAUGGCUUACCAAGGCUACGACGGGUAGGGGAUCUGAGAGGAUGUCCCCCCACACUGGAACUGAAACACGGUCCAGACGCCUACGGGUGGCAGCAGUGAGGAAUAUUGGACAAUGGGCGAAAGCCCGAUCCAGCAACGCCGCGUGGAGGAUGAAGGCCUUCGGGUCGUAAACUUCUUUAGAGGGAGACGAGAAAGGACGGUAUCCCUAGAAUAAGCGACGGCAAACUACGUGCCAGCAGCCGCGGUAAU